Molecule: long non-coding RNA, 1326 nt
Filed under: Astyanax mexicanus (Mexican tetra)
Lineage: Eukaryota; Metazoa; Chordata; Actinopteri; Characiformes; Acestrorhamphidae
Description: lncRNA (ENSAMXG00005002805.1)
Source: RNAcentral
AUGAUCUCCACCACCGGCUCACUGGCACAGCUCUCAUCUUCAUCUUCUUCUGAGGAGAAGGACAAGUUGUCCAUACUUUUGAAGGACAGCUUCUUCUUUGUCUCCUCUUCCUCCUGCCUCUGUUGUCUCUCCAGCUCGGCUCGGGGGACCGCCCAGCCCAGAUUGUCUCCCAUCACUUCCUUUACCUCCUUCUUUUUAACCAUUGGAGGCUUUUUCUCUAUGAUCUCCACCACCGGCUCACUGGCACAGCUCUCAUCUUCAUCUUCUUCUGAGGAGGAGAUUGACUUGUCCAUCUUCUUAGCCUCCUUCUCAAACUCCUGUGUCCAUGUCUGCACAAGAUCUUCAUCUCUUUCUUCCUUCUUUACCUCUUUCUCAAUAUCACUGCCCUCGUCCUCUGAGCUGUCCCACUUCCACGAUUCCUCUUCUUCUUCUCUUCUCUUUUCCUCCUGCUCUGCUUCCUUUUUUUUCUGGAUGGCCUGCAUGCAUCUCUUCACCAGAUCUUCAUCUCUUUCUUCCUUAUUUACCUCUUGCUCAAUGUCACUGCCCUCGUCCUCUGAGCUGUCCCACUUCCACGAUUCCUCUUCUUCUUCUUUCCUCUUUCUCUCUUCAGCCUCUCUCCUUUUCUCCUCCUCCUCUUCUGCUCUCUUUUUCAUACGUAUAGCCAGUUCUUUUUCUCUCUCCUCCUUUUCUUUCCUUUCCUUCUCUCUCUGUUCUUCCUCCUUCCUUUUCUGCUCCUCCAGCCUUUCUUUCCUUGUUCUCCGUUCUUCAGCCUCCUUCCUUCUUUUCUUUUUCUCUUUCUUUGCUCUUUCCUGUUCCAUCCUCACUCUCUCCUCCUCCUCUUCUGCUCUCUUUUUCAUUCGGAUGGCCAGCUCUGUUUCUCUCUCCUCCUUUUCUUUCCUUUCCUUCUCUCUCUGUUCCUUCUUCCUUCUUUUCUGCUCCUCCAGCCUUUCUUUCCUUAUUCUCCGUUCUUCAGCCUCCUUCCAUCUUUUCAUUUCCUCUUUCUUUGUUCUUUCCUGGUCCAUCCUUACUCCUUCCAUCAUCCUCUGCCCCUUUACUUUCUCCUCCUUCAAGCGCUCCUCUGCUCUCAUCCUUCGCUCUCUCUCUUUUCUGAGAGCAUCCUUCAGAUGGUCGUUCUCCACCCUCAAUCUCUCAAGCUCCUUCAGGAUGUCCUCCUCCUCCACCUUCUUUCUCUGCAGCGGAUCUUUCAGUCGUUUUCCACUGAAGAUCCCUUCACCUGCCAUUUGGUCUUCAUCUGCAAGCUUCAUUUGCUGGAGGAUCUUGAGGGUCCUCUGCCUGAUCUCAGGCUCCAUCAUAAGGAGGGUGUAG